GUCACUCUGCAUUCCCGCUUGUCGUGCCAUGUUCUGUCUGUUCCAGCUCACACCAGCUGUCCUGGAGGGAGGAGCUCCGAGUUGCCACCCAGGAAAAAGAGGGCUCCUCUGGGAGAUGUAUGCUUACUCUCUUAGGCCUUUCAUUCAUCUUGGCAGGACUUAUUGUUGGUGGAGCCUGCAUUUACAAGUACUUCAUGCCCAAGAGCACCAUUUACCGUGGAGAGAUGUGCUUUUUUGAUUCUGAGGAUCCUGCAAAUUCCCUUCGUGGAGGAGAGCCUAACUUCCUGCCUGUGACUGAGGAGGCUGACAUUCGUGAGGAUGACAACAUUGCAAUCAUUGAUGUGCCUGUCCCCAGUUUCUCUGAUAGUGACCCUGCAGCAAUUAUUCAUGACUUUGAAAAGGGAAUGACUGCUUACCUGGACUUGUUGCUGGGGAACUGCUAUCUGAUGCCCCUCAAUACUUCUAUUGUUAUGCCUCCAAAAAAUCUGGUAGAGCUCUUUGGCAAACUGGCGAGUGGCAGAUAUCUGCCUCAAACUUAUGUGGUUCGUGAAGACCUAGUUGCUGUGGAGGAAAUUCGUGAUGUUAGUAACCUUGGCAUCUUUAUUUACCAACUUUGCAAUAACAGAAAGUCCUUCCGCCUUCGUCGCAGAGACCUCUUGCUGGGUUUCAACAAACGUGCCAUUGAUAAAUGCUGGAAGAUUAGACACUUCCCCAACGAAUUUAUUGUUGAGACCAAGAUCUGUCAAGAGUAAGAGGCAACAGAUAGAGUGUCCUUGGUAAUAAGAAGUCAGAGAUUUACAAUAUGACUUUAACAUUAAGGUUUAUGGGAUACUCAAGAUAUUUACUCAUGCAUUUACUCUAUUGCUUAUGCUUUAAAAA
RNAcentral lists this small RNA (879 nucleotides) under Pan troglodytes (chimpanzee). RNAcentral describes it as "processed transcript". Lineage: Eukaryota; Metazoa; Chordata; Mammalia; Primates; Hominidae. The record is from RNAcentral.